This is a long non-coding RNA of Mauremys mutica (yellowpond turtle), 934 nucleotides long. RefSeq lists it as uncharacterized. The record is from RefSeq and is a predicted model, not a curated record. NCBI's taxonomy places the organism in Eukaryota, Metazoa, Chordata, Testudines, Geoemydidae. The transcript is spliced from 5 exons.
CUUCCCUUGAAGUGAUUUUACUAGAAAACAGCCGUCCCUGUUUAGAAGAUGUUUUCAGAUGGAUUCCUGAAUUGUUUGCUGCAUUAUCUUCCCUGGUGCAGAAGUUAAGCUGACUGACAUCAGCGAUAAAGGGGUGCAGGAUCCAGAAAAGAGAAGCCAGUAGUGAACACUGACCGUGGACAACAGAUGAAACAGACAGACGAACUAUCGCAAGAAGGUGUGGAUACAACAGUACAUUGAGAGCCGAGAAGGAAGGACUGUGCUGGAGUACUAAUUCUGAACAUGGCACUAGGUCUUUCAUGAACCCAAGGAGCUGAUAUAUUUCCAGAAACCCACCCCAUGGUACAUGCUCAGAUGGGAAGGGCUUGAACCACCCAACUAGAAGCAGAACACAGACAGAUGUUUUCCUCAGGUGCUACCCCAGACGAUACUGCCAGGACCGCAAUUCAUUGUGCAGCUUGUGCUGACGGCGGCCUCACCGUACCCUGCACCACUUGCUGUGUCCCCUCCUGGAUUGCAGCAAACCCUGCAACAGGAUGCCCUUCGUGGUGACAAGCACUCCCAUCAACUGCCCAGAGUGUUAACCCUUUUCCUUGUACUUCUUCCCAGGAUGUUGCUAAGAAGAAUGGAGAUAGUAAGUCUAAAUCAGGAUCUGGCAACGGACAUUCGUGCUCAUCUCCUGCGGUAAUCGGAGCAUAGGGAAGGAUUCUCGUAUGGGGGGGAUCUUCUCAGUACGAAUAUCCCGAUUGACCAGACUUAGAGUCCAUCCCGCCAGCCGGGGAGAGGAUACCCUUCCCUCAUUAAUUCUUCCAGAGAUGACAUAUUUUACUGGAGUAUGGCAUGUCCUCACCACAAUGAGAGCUGUGCCACUUAAAUAUUCCCAAUGUGUUAGGGACCAUACCAGGGCGAAUACCUCACGUUCGCAAGCUGAAAA